Molecule: ribosomal RNA, 200 nt
Filed under: uncultured bacterium
Lineage: Bacteria
Description: partial 16S ribosomal RNA
Rfam family: Bacterial small subunit ribosomal RNA
Source: RNAcentral
AUUGAACGCUGGCGGCAGGCUUAACACAUGCAAGUCGAACGCCCCGCAAGGGGAGUGGCAGACGGGUGAGUAACGCGUGGGAAUCUACCUAGUUCUACGGAACAACAGUUGGAAACGACUGCUAAUACCGUAUACGCCCUACGGGGGAAAGAUUUAUCGGAAUUAGAUGAGCCCGCGUAAGAUUAGCUAGUUGGUGAGGU